GGCGAGUGAAGCGGCAAAAGCUCAAAUUUGAAAUCUAGCACUUUCAGUGUUCGAGUUGUAAUUUGAAGAAGGUAACUUUGGUUUUGGCUCUUGUCUAUGUUCCUUGGAACAGGACGUCACAGAGGGUGAGAAUCCCGUGCGAUGAGAUGCCCAAUUCCAUGUAAAGUGCUUUCGAAGAGUCGAGUUGUUUGGGAAUGCAGCUCUAAGUGGGUGGUAAAUUCCAUCUAAAGCUAAAUAUUGGCGAGAGACCGAUAGCGAACAAGUACAGUGAUGGAAAGAUGAAAAGAACUUUGAAAAGAGAGUGAAAAAGUACGUGAAAUUGUUGAAAGGGAAGGGCUUGAGAUCAGACUUGGUAUUUUGCGUUCCCUUCCUUUUUGGUUGGGUUCCUCGCAGUUUACUGGGCCAGCAUCGGUUUGGAUGGUAGGAUAAUGACAUUGGAAUGUAGCUUUACUUCGGUGAAGUGUUAUAGACUUUGUUGAUACUGCCUAUCUAGACCGAGGACUGCGUCUUUGACUAGGAUGCUGGCGUAAUGAUCUUAAGCCG
Molecule: ribosomal RNA, 543 nt
Filed under: Dujonia zeylanoides
Lineage: Eukaryota; Fungi; Ascomycota; Pichiomycetes; Serinales; Debaryomycetaceae
Description: [Candida] zeylanoides partial large subunit ribosomal RNA
Rfam family: Eukaryotic large subunit ribosomal RNA
Source: RNAcentral